GAGGCUAUAGCUCAGUGGUAGAGUGCAUGCCUAGCAUGCACAAGGUCCUGAGUUCAAUCCCCAGUACCUCCA
RNAcentral lists this transfer RNA (72 nucleotides) under Camelus bactrianus (Bactrian camel). It matches the Rfam family "tRNA". From Rfam's summary of the family: Transfer RNA (tRNA) molecules are approximately 80 nucleotides in length. Their secondary structure includes four short double-helical elements and three loops (D, anti-codon, and T loops). Lineage: Eukaryota; Metazoa; Chordata; Mammalia; Artiodactyla; Camelidae. The record is from Rfam by way of RNAcentral. RNAcentral also lists the same sequence under 2 other names.